UUGGCUUAGAAGCAGCCAUUCCUUUAAAGAGUGCGUAAUAGCUCACUGGUCGAGGGCUUCUGCGCCGAAAAUGUAACGGGGCUAAGCAUAUCACCGAAGCCACGGGUUCGUAAGUGAUUCGUCACUUAUGGGCGGUAGGGGAGCGUUCUGCCGUAGGAAGAAGGCAUACCGCGAGGAGUGCUGGACGAAGCAGAAGUGAGAAUGUCGGAACGAGUAGCGAUAAGACGGGUGAGAAACCCGUUCGCCGUAAACCUAAGGUUUCCUGGGGAAGGUUAAUCCUCCCAGGGUUAGUCGGUCCUAAGCCGAGGCCGAGAGGCGUAGGUGAAGGGAAACAGGUUAAUAUUCCGCACCAUGGUCAGUUGUUUUAUCGAUGGAGUGACGCAGGAGGUUAUACCCGCACGGAAAGAAAUUGCCGUGUCGAACGGUGUAGGCAGUGAUCGCAGGCAAAUCCGCGGUUGCUAUCAAGCUGAGGCCGGACAGGCCACCGAAUUAAGUAGGUGGAAGGAGUAGAUACCGCGCUGCCGAGAAAAGCUUCUAAGAGAGACUGAUUGUGACCGUACCGUAAACCGACACAGGUGGGUGAGGAGAAUAUCCUAAGGCGCUCGAAAGAACCCACGUUAAGGAACUCGGCAAAUUAACUCCGUAACUUCGGGAGAAGGAGUGCUCCGGUAGGGUGACUGGAAUACAUAGGAAACUUUGUAUCGAAAGGUAGCCCGAUGGAGUCGCAGAGAAUAGGCUCAGGCGACUGUUUAUCAAAAACACAGGACUCUGCUAAGGCGAAUAGCCGACGUAUAGGGUCUGACGCCUGCCCAAUGCUGGAAGGUUACGGGGAGGGGUCAGGAGUAGUAAUACUCCGAAGCUCCGAACUUAAGCCCCAGUGAAUGGCGGCCGUAACUAUAACGGUCCUAAGGUAGCGAAAUCCCUUGUCAGGUAAGUUCUGACCCGCAUGAAUGGCUUAACGGUCUGAGCACUGUCUCAACGUGGGGUUCGGCGAAACUGUGCACCGGGUGAAGACGCCCGGUAUCCGCAUCAGGACAAAAAGACCCCGUGGAGCUUUACUGUAUCUUGAUAUUGGAUUUUGGCCUGUUAUGUAGAGCAUAGGUGGGAGACUAUGAAGUUAGGGCGCCAGCCUUGGCGGAGUCGACAAUGGAAUACCACCCUUAUCAGUCUGGAAUUCUAACCUUGGCCCAUUGAUCUGGGUUGGGGACAGUGUCAGGUGGGCAGUUUGACUGGGGCGGUCGCCUCCUAAAGAGUAACGGAGGCGUUCAAAGGUUCCCUCAGCGUGAUUGGAAACCACGCGCAGAGUGUAAAGGCAAAAGGGAGCUUGACUGUGAGGCAAACGAGCCGAGCAGGGACGAAAGUCGGACUUAGUGAUCCGGUGGUACCGAAUGGAAGGGCCAUCGCUCAACGGAUAAAAGCUACCCCGGGGAUAACAGGCU
Molecule: ribosomal RNA, 1439 nt
Filed under: activated sludge metagenome
Description: bacterial LSU rRNA
Rfam family: Bacterial large subunit ribosomal RNA
Source: RNAcentral